CCUCCUUCUGCACCACCCUGACCCCAGCAUUUUUGAGAAUUGGCAGGGCAGAGCAACCUAGUGCUAGAAAAACCACAGGCUAACAGCUCACGGCUCCUGCCUCCACAUGCCGGCUGCCAGCUGGUGUGGGGUGCUGGGGCCAGUCCCUCCCCAGGCCGGGGCUGCAGUUUCCCUCUUCAGAUCCUAAGAUGCUGGAACAGACACUCUCUGAGCCCCUCCCUGCUCCAGCAUGAGGCACGCGCACACCUUCCGUCUUGCUUUCUGCAAAGGUGGCUGGAGGCAGAGUUCAGCUGCCAUUUGCAAGGCUACCCCCAGCCUUCGUGUCUUUGGGGGUCGGUUUCUAAUAACACAAGCACACACAGCACAUUCUGGGGUGAGUCAAAUGUGAAUUCCCCGUGACCCUCCCUCAGGCCCUGCCUCCCUCCCCCAAAGGGGACUGCCCCCAUCAGUGCAGGGACCACCCUUGUGGCUCUUUGAAGGGCAUCCACUUUCGUGGACACUGCAGAUGCAGAAAGAGUUCCGCAUCGGGGCGCCUGGGUGGCUCAGUCCGUUUCGGCUCAGGUCAUGAUCUCACAGUUCGUGAGUUCGAGCCCCGUCUCGGGCUCUGUGCUGACAGCUCAGAGCCUGGAGCCUGCUUCGGAUUCUGUGCCUCCCUCUCUCUCUCUGCCCCUCCCCUGCUCACGCUCUGUCUCUCUCUGUCUCUCAAUAACAAAUAAACGUUAAAAAAAAAAUUUAAAAAAAAAAAGAAAGUUCUGCAGGGAUUGGCAGUUUGUUUUUUAAUAUAAAUGGGACUCUACUGCUCGAGUCGCGCUGCAACCUGCUCUUUUCUCUUCGCGGCUGUCUGGGGCAGAUGUCCAUGUCUGAAUGGAGAGAUCACCCCCCCAGUUUGCUGCACUGCUCUAGAAUAUGCCAUAGUAUGCACGCUCUGGAGUUCACCUGCCCGUUCUCCUCACUGUCAAACACCUUCUAGGUUUCUAAUCUUCCAUUAUUCCACACAAGGCUGCCACAGGCUUGUGCUCAGCGCUCCCUGGGCUUGCGAGGCUGCGGGACACGCCGUUUCUGCGCAAGGUCGUUGGGAGCCGCUCUCAAGGCCACUCGAGUUCAGAUCCCCAGUGCAGUUCCCAGCUGUGUGGCCCGGGACGACUCACUGGCCCUCUCUGAGAACUCCCGGAGGAGCAGGUCCCAGGUAA
RNAcentral lists this long non-coding RNA (1190 nucleotides) under Felis catus (domestic cat). Its description in RNAcentral is "lncRNA (ENSFCAG00000044051.2)". The record is from RNAcentral. Lineage: Eukaryota; Metazoa; Chordata; Mammalia; Carnivora; Felidae.